This 490-nucleotide ribosomal RNA is filed under the name uncultured bacterium. Its description in RNAcentral is "partial 16S ribosomal RNA". It matches the Rfam family "Bacterial small subunit ribosomal RNA", at positions 29 to 507 of the family's 1533-position model. The record is from RNAcentral.
AUUGAACGCUGGCGGCAGGCCUAACACAUGCAAGUCGAACGGUAACAGGAAGCGGCUUGCUGCUUCGCUGACGAGUGGCGGACGGGUGAGAAAUGUCUGGGAAGCUGCCUGAUGGAGGGGGAUAACUACUGGAAACGGUAGCUAAUACCGCAUAAUGUCGCAAGACCAAAGAGCGGGACCUUCGGGCCUCUUGCCAUCGGCUGUUCCCAGAUGGGCUUAGGUUGUUGGUGGGGUAACGGCUCACCAAGGGGACGGUCCCUAGCUGGUCUGAGAGGAGGACCCGCCACACCGGGAAUGAGACAAGGUCCCGACCCCUAAGGGAGGGAGGCGGGGGGAAUAUUGCACAAUGGGCGCAAGGCUGAUGCAGCCAUGGCGGGUGUAGGAAGAAGGCCUUCGGGUUGUAAAGUACUUUCAGCGGGGAGGAAGGGAGUAAAGUUAAUACCUUGGCUAAUUGACGUUACCCGAAGAAGAAGCACCGGCUAACUCCGUG